RNAcentral lists this unclassified non-coding RNA (370 nucleotides) under Hevea brasiliensis (rubber tree). Lineage: Eukaryota; Viridiplantae; Streptophyta; Magnoliopsida; Malpighiales; Euphorbiaceae. The record is from RNAcentral.
AUAAUUUUCUUCCAAAGUCUGAGCCUUCUGGGUUAUUGUCUUUUCCCUCUGGACAUUGGAGCCGUAAUCUGUAUGUUGAAGGACAAUGUGAUAAUAAAAGUGGCUGUAGUGUGUGUGACAUUGGCUUUUUGGUCACCUAUCCAUUCAUGAGCUCUGCCGUCAACCCAAGAAGAAAGGCUCUUGCUCUUUACCCUGUUUUUCUUAUGUACGUAUCUGUUGGUUUCCUCAUCAUUGCCAUUGAUUAAUACAACUAACCCUAUUGUGAAAUUUUCAUAAAGAAUAGAAACUCAUACAGUACAUAGGAAUUUUAUGCGGUGACUAUUUUCUUCUUGUGUAACUGUAUAUUUUCUUAAUUUUUAUUUUUAUUUUU